Acanthosepion pharaonis is the source of this 94-nucleotide non-coding RNA. NCBI's taxonomy places the organism in Eukaryota, Metazoa, Mollusca, Cephalopoda, Sepiida, Sepiidae. The record is from the annotation of a GenBank genome assembly.
UGAAACACCAGUUCCUGUACAAUAACUGAAGUUAAGCAACAUUGAGCCUCAUCAGUACCUGGAUGGGUGACCACUUGAGAAUACCAGAUGCUAU